UUCCGCAUAUCAAAUGAAUCCUCAUCCUUUCCAUGUGGAUUACUAUAGUACCCAAUAACUCGUCUAUAAACCGAAUACCCCAAUCCUUUGUAAAAGUCAAUUGCAAGUGCAUUGCUGGCACGCACAAACAGGUCAACAAAAAAAGCGUUUUCAGAAUUUCCUACAGUUUCUAAGUAGUCCAUCAUCGUUCUAGCAAGGCCUAAACGACGGGAAUUUGGCGCUACUGUAAUGGCGGUAAC
Non-coding RNA from Schizosaccharomyces pombe (fission yeast), 239 nucleotides. The record is from the annotation of a GenBank genome assembly. NCBI's taxonomy places the organism in Eukaryota, Fungi, Ascomycota, Schizosaccharomycetes, Schizosaccharomycetales, Schizosaccharomycetaceae.